Molecule: ribosomal RNA, 916 nt
Filed under: bacterium J-5
Lineage: Bacteria
Description: bacterial SSU rRNA
Rfam family: Bacterial small subunit ribosomal RNA
Source: RNAcentral
AGAGUUUGAUCCUGGCUCAGAUUGAACGCUGGCGGCAGGCCUAACACAUGCAAGUCGAGCGGAUGAGAGGAGCUUGCUCCUCGAUUCAGCGGCGGACGGGUGAGUAAUGCCUAGGAAUCUGCCUAGUAGUGGGGGACAACGUUUCGAAAGGAACGCUAAUACCGCAUACGUCCUACGGGAGAAAGUGGGGGAUCUUCGGACCUCACGCUAUUAGAUGAGCCUAGGACGGAUUAGCUAGUUGGUAGGGUAAAGGCCUACCAAGGCGACGAUCCGUAACUGGUCUGAGAGGAUGAUCAGUCACACUGGAACUGAGACACGGUCCAGACUUCUACGGGAGGCAGCAGUGGGGAAUAUUGGACAAUGGGCGAAAGCCUGAUCCAGCCAUGCCGCGUGUGUGAAGAAGGCCUUCGGGUCGUAAAGCACUUUAAGUUGGGAGGAAGAGCUCAUAGCGAAUACCUGUGAGUUUUGACGUUACCAACAGAAUAAGCACCGGCUAACUUCGUGCCAGCAGCCGCGGUAAUACGAAGGGUGCAAGCGUUAAUCGGAAUUACUGGGCGUAAAGCGCGCGUAGGUGGCUUGAUAAGUUGGAUGUGAAAUCCCCGGGCUCAACCUGGGAACUGCAUCCAAAACUGUCUGGCUAGAGUGCGGUAGAGGGUAGUGGAAUUUCCAGUGUAGCGGUGAAAUGCGUAGAUAUUGGAAGGAACACCAGUGGCGAAGGCGACUACCUGGACUGACACUGACACUGAGGUGCGAAAGCGUGGGGAGCAAACAGGGAUUAGAUACCCUGGUAGUCCACGCCGUAAACGAUGUCAACUAGCCGUUGGGAUCCUUGAGAUCUUAGUGGCGCAGCUAACGCAUUAAGUUGACCGCCUGGGGAGUACGGCCGCAAGGUUAAAACUCAAAAUGAAUUGACAGG